AGUCUUUACGGAGAAAGCUUUAUGCACCAUUGGAUGAGCCUGCACUUGAUUAGUUUGUUGGUGGGGUAAUGGCCUACCAAGACUGUGAUCAAUAGCUGAUUUGAGAGGAUGAUCAGCCACAUUGGGACUGAGACACGGCCCAAACUCCUACGGGAGGCAGCAGUGGGGAAUCUUGCACAAUGGAGGAAACUCUGAUGCAGCGAUGCCGCGUGAGUGAAGAAGGCCCUUGGGUUGUAAAGCUCUUUCGUCGGGGAAGAAAAUGACUGUACCCGAAUAAGAAGGUCCGGCUAACUUCGUGCCAGCAGCCGCGGUAAUACGAAGGGACCUAGCGUAGUUCGGAAUUACUGGGCUUAAAGAGUUCGUAGGUGGUUGAAAAAGUUGGUGGUGAAAUCCCAGAGCUUAACUCUGGAACUGCCAUCAAAACUUUUCAGCUAGAGUAUGAUAGAGGAAAGCAGAAUUUCUAGUGUAGAGGUGAAAUUCGUAGAUAUUAGAAAGAAUACCAAUUGCGAAGGCAGCUUUCUGGAUCAUUACUGACACUGAGGAACGAAAGCAUGGGUAGCGAAGAGGAUUAGAUACCCUCGUAGUCCAUGCCGUAAACGAUGUGUGUUAGACGUUGGAAAUUUAUUUUCAGUGUCGCAGCGAAAGCGAUAAACACACCGCCUGGGGAGUACGACCGCAAGGUUAAAACUCAAAUGAAUUGACGGGGACCCGCACAAGUAGUGGAGCAUGUGGUUUAAUUCGAAGAUACGCGCAGAACCUUACCAACACUUGACAUGUUCGUCGCGACUCUAAGAGAUUAGAGUUUUCGGUUCGGCCGGACGAAACACAGGUGCUGCAUGGCUGUCGUCAGCUCGUGUCGUGAGAUGUUGGGGUAAGUCCCGCAACGAGCGCA
Molecule: ribosomal RNA, 892 nt
Filed under: marine metagenome
Description: bacterial SSU rRNA
Rfam family: Bacterial small subunit ribosomal RNA
Source: RNAcentral